GCAAGGGUGGUGGAAUGGUAGACACGCUACUUUGAGGGGGUAGUGGACUUACGUCUGUGCGAGUUCAAAUCUCGUCUCUUGCACCA
RNAcentral lists this transfer RNA (86 nucleotides) under Candidatus Fimihabitans intestinipullorum. RNAcentral describes it as "tRNA-Leu". It matches the Rfam family "tRNA". Rfam says of the family: Transfer RNA (tRNA) molecules are approximately 80 nucleotides in length. The record is from RNAcentral. Lineage: Bacteria; Bacillati; Mycoplasmatota.